RNAcentral lists this ribosomal RNA (460 nucleotides) under uncultured bacterium. Its description in RNAcentral is "partial 16S ribosomal RNA". It matches the Rfam family "Bacterial small subunit ribosomal RNA", at positions 338 to 795 of the family's 1533-position model. The record is from RNAcentral.
CCUACGGGAGGCAGCAGUGAGGAAUAUUGGUCAAUGGGCUCGAGCCUGAACCAGCCAAGUAGCGUGAAGGAUGACUGCCCUACGGGUUGUAAACUUCUUUUAUCAAGGAAUAAAGUGAGACACGUGUACCUUUUUGUAUGUACUUUAUGAAUAAGGAUCGGCGAAACCCGUGACAUGAGCCGCGGUAAGACGGAGGAUCCGGACGUUAUUCGGAUUUUAUGGGGUUAAAGGGAGCGUAGGGUGGAUGUUAAGUCAGUUGGGAAAGUUUGCGGCCCAACCCUACAAUUGCCAUUGAUACUGGCAGUCUUGAGUACAGUUGAGGUAAGCGGAAUGCGUGGUGUAGCGGUGAAAUGCUUAGAUAUCACGAAGAACUCCGAUUGCGAAGGCAGCUUACUAAACUGCCACUGACAUUGAUGCUCGAAAGUGUGGGUAUCAAACAGGAUUAGAUACCCCUGUAGUC